This 274-nucleotide long non-coding RNA is filed under the name Gallus gallus (chicken). Lineage: Eukaryota; Metazoa; Chordata; Aves; Galliformes; Phasianidae. The record is from RNAcentral.
CCUCCCUUCCUCUUUCAGAGUCAGAGUCUGUUAUGAGCAGAACUACCAACAUCAAUUCUACAAACAAGCAGUCGUUGAAGGAGACAUCUUUCUUUCAUAUGUUAUCCUUCUUAAACUGUGUUUCAGUGGAAAGUCUGGAGACUGCACAAGGAGCCCGAGACAGCUGAUUGAAGCUUCAAAUUAGGUGAAGGGCAUCAUAUGACAAACACUAGAAAAUGGCUUAAGAUGCAGAAUCUCCAAAUUCAAACCAUGUUGUGAAGCCAACAGCUUUGCU